CUAAUACCUCCCAUUGGCCGGCGUGGCAGAGCAGCAGCUCUGGCGCUAGAGGGAACCUGGGCUGCUCUAGCUGGGGGAGAGCCGGGUCUCUGGUUCUAAUCACUUGAAUCUGACUUCUGGGAAAACUGGCGUCCAGGGACUCCCCCCGGAGACCCAUAAUCUUCUUGGGGCGACCUCAGAAUCAGGUAUGGACACCGACAUUCCAACCUUCUUUCCUUCUUCGGCGCUCCUGAAGUCUCCACGGCGACGCUGCGUUCCCGACUCGGAGCCCCCAGCUCCGCGCGAGCAGCUAGCCGGGCUGGCUCUCGGUGUGUGCCCUUCGGAUGGUCUGCUGAAGAGGGCCGCCAGCUGGACUUCUGUAGACAAGACAGAUACUGUAAAGACAGCAAAGAACAAACAGAAUGGCAGAUUGCUAAUGUUUGAUCCAAACGAAAAAGUGAUGAUUGAAUCAAACGAAGCAAUGUCAGAGUAAGAAGAUGU
RNAcentral lists this long non-coding RNA (480 nucleotides) under Homo sapiens (human). Its description in RNAcentral is "non-protein coding lnc-ERICH2-1:3". Lineage: Eukaryota; Metazoa; Chordata; Mammalia; Primates; Hominidae. The record is from RNAcentral.